GACGAACGCUGGCGGCGUGCUUAACACAUGCAAGUCGAACGCUGAAGCCCACUUCGGUGGGUAGAUGAGUGGCGAACGGGUGAGUAACACGUGGGCAACCUGCCCUGUACUUCGGGAUAAGCCCGGGAAACUGGGUCUAAUACCGGAUAUGACUGCACAUCGCAUGGUGUGCAGUGGAAAGUUCCGGCGGUACAGGUUGGGCCCGCGGCCUAUCAGUUUGAUGGUGGGGUAAUGGCCUACCAUGGCGAUGACGGGUAGCCGGCCUGAGAGGGCGACC
Molecule: ribosomal RNA, 277 nt
Filed under: uncultured bacterium
Lineage: Bacteria
Description: partial 16S ribosomal RNA
Rfam family: Bacterial small subunit ribosomal RNA
Source: RNAcentral